ACUAAUACACUAAGUUCUUCCAACGUAGCUCCUUCAAACAAAAUUGGAAAACCUAAAAUUGCAACGUCUUAGUUCUUGCGCAGUUCCUUGUUAAACCCUAGUCGUAGCCCGUUCCUCGCCGGUGUUCUAUUACCGCAAUCUCGCCGGUGUUCUAUUACCGCAAUCUCGCCGGUGUUCUAUUACCGCAAUCUCGCCGGUGUUCUGUUACCGCAACCUCGCCGGAGCACGAUUUCACGAACCCUAGCGCCGUCGUCUUCUUCAUCUUCACACUUCAACUCAGGAACUUUUGGGAAGACACAGUCAUUAACCUUUGCAUCAAAUUCGGUUGAAGUUGUUCAUACUGGUGCGGCUUUGCAUUGCUGGUCAUCUCUCUCCAAUAUCUGUAUCAUCAAUUGAUUGAAACUCACUGAGAUGGAUAUUCCAGGAGCUAAACUAUUACAUGAGGCGUUUCUAAACUGAAAGGUUACAACUGUUUCCGUUUACCUAAAUGUACGGAGAUGCAUAUUGCCUAGUUGCUGCUGUGCGAAAUACCAUGACAGGACUAUUCGUCUAUCUCUGUGACAAUAUUUUGUUUACAUUGGAAGGAGUAUAAAUACUGACAAGAGUAAAGUUUGGUAUUUAAGAGGCAGCUUGAUACGCAUCCUGGGAAGGCGACUGCAGUAUUCCAAAUCGAAGGCGAGCUCAUGUCCAGACAACCGGAAUUGAAUGUAUAAAAGUUACAAGGUAAGCUCCUGCAUGACAGUAUGGUUAAUUCGAACAAUUUAUACAACAAAUAUGUCUUAGCCUUGCCAUGAGGUUCCAGCUGCAGGAUUAGUUCUUCAGUUGCUACAAAAAUGGAAGAAAUUGAAGGCAGCUCCCAAACAGGUCUUUACUCUUACUUGGCCAAAGUGAUUGGAAGAUGAAAGCAACCAAUAGUAGUCACGACACCUAAUGAUGCUAGGCCACGAAGGGUUUAAGUUUCCAGGGACGGUUCAUUCCCAUUGAUUCGCAAAGUGGAGAUCAAACUGACCUCCAUUUGUGUUAUGGAUGAAGUCGACUCUGAGGAGGUAUCCUCCUGAUGGAAAAGCGGGAAAGUAAAGAAACAAACAAUGUAGUUGGUGGCAGAUUGUCCAUGGCGCAAAGACACCAUCAAGAAUAAUUUCGAACAACAUCGUCACCGAACCAGGUUCAAAAGUAUCUCUCCUUUGCUUUUUCGUUUGUUGUUCGAAACUUGGAAACUAGGUGAAAGCUUAGUCAAGUAAUUCUGUAAUUGAAUCGACAUUGGUAAUUGUCAACGAGUGCUCAGAAUUUAUAAUUGCACAUGCUAGUUUAGCACUCUGUUAGAUUUAUUUGUUAAACCUUUAGUAUCAUACUAAAUAUAUCAAAACAUGAAUUAGUUGCCAAAAGGAGAGAUUAAGUAGCAUGCUUAUUUUUGUUUUUGGUCAUAUACUGUGAAUUAACAACAUUGUUGCACCAUUUUCUCUUGUUUUCGGAAGAGGCGAACUCGUCGAUGAUCCUUUGCUCCACCUUACUUUACCUUAGCUUUAUUGGUCCUGCCCUUAACCAGAUCACAUAUAUAGAACCAUCUUUUCCUUUUUAAAUAUCAAAAGUGACUUUUAUUGCUGGCACUUUAAAACUGGGGUCCACCAUACAUUGAUAUUUCUUGAUUGAAUGGCUUGUCAAAAGUAAACACCAACUCUCUAGAAUUACUACCAGAAUCAGUUGAUGUGUUUUGGUACAGCCACAAGAACUAUAAUUGAAACAUUCUAUGAAAAUUACUUGACAAUCCUUGACAUGGAAAGUUCUUGAAAAACUUGAAGAAGAAAAUGUGCUUGAAGUAAAUUGGUUGAUGGAAUUACUGAGGGAGGUGAUGGUGUGUAUGUUUAUUUUGGUUUCCAAGUACAGAGAGAUCAAUGCAACAACAUGUUAUUUUACAAACUAAUGAGGCCAAACAGGUUUUUGAUUUCCUUCCCUUCUGUUUGUUCUUUUGGCCUUCAUUGUGAUAGAUUAAAAGCAACAUUGAAACUAAUUUGCACAAUGUGUGACCAAACUCAUGUAGCUACAAUUCCGGCUUGUCAGUUCCGGUUUCCCGUUAACGUGAAUCUGGGGGAUUAUUUCUUUGGAUCGGGGCUUGAGGGUCUGAUCCAGCAACUGGCUGAGAACGAUCCGAGUCGGCGCGAGACUCCUCCUGCGUUAAAAUAUUUAACUAGUUGAUUACAACAUAAGGUGUGGUUCUAUAAUUGCUUGUUUUGCUUUCUUUAGUAUGUUAAAUGUCAUAAAUAUGGUAAACUGCACCAGUCAACAAGAUAAAAAACAUCGAACCAAGAAUUGACACUGCAUUCUUCAAGUAUGAGUGUUUUUCUCUGUUUUGAGUUUUGAAUUUGAUUAGUUGAUUUGAAGUUCCAAAUUGAAUUUUUUAUUAUUUUAUGAAAUGAAGGCUUGUAAGUGUGCUUGGGGAUUCAAUUUUCAGAUGUGGGGUUAUGAAAUAAGAGGUCUAACAGGUUUUAGUCGGAAUAAAAGGGUAAGAUGGGAAAUAAAGGGGCGAGGGAUAAUCAAGUAUAGAGAGAAGUGGUGGGGGAAUGGGAAGUUGUCUUAGAUAUGAUUCCGUAUCUGCGUUUAGGCUAUGUUUCAGAUCCUUCUGAGAUGCAAUCUGUCAUCUCCUCCGAAGGUCCAGUUUGUCCUGUAAGUUUGUUUCGUGUGUUUUCUUUAUCCAAAUUUGAGGAAUUUUAAGAAUGCCACAGACCAAAAUCUAGUUUUGUCAUGGAUAUUUGUAAAAUCAAGUUCUCUUGAUGUCCUGCAAACUUGCCUAUUUCAUAUUUUGCUUUCUUGACUUGAGUUGAGACUCUGAUCUGAUCAUUAAUUAAGUAUUGUAAUAAAUGAAAUCUUGUUUUAGUUCCUUACCCUUUUUGUAAAAAUAGUUUAAAGUUACUCUAACCUAAGAAACUGGAGAGUUAAUCUUGUGAUGUGAAAAGUUGACUCUAAUUAUUUGUUCUAGAUGAGCCCAUGUAUGAAGUGGGCCAUGCUGGACCAACUUGCUGAUUAUUUCAAUUCCCGGUUGGCUGCCUACCCUACAACAUUGGCUGACGAUGAAUCUAUGGUACUAUUUGUUUGAAUUUGAAAUUGACCAAUAUUUUUCAACUUUUCACUUAUAAUUUUUAUGUUGCUUUAGCUGGCAGAUGAUAGUUUGAAGCUAGAAAAGAAAAUGCUUCAUGCAUGUUUGCAGGAAAUCACGGAUUCCAUAAACCAGCUACCAGACCAGUGUAAAACAUUCAUCAAUUUUGGUUAUUGUGUUGAAAAUUGUUUUCACACCAACUUGUAUGUUUUAUCGAUUGUUUAAAACAUUAUAUUGAUCGUCAACUAUUUGGUUAUUGUGUGUUGAAUUGACAUUUUGUUUUUUAUAUUGCUUGUUGUAUAUUAUGAUUGUUGACUUCAGAUUAUCAUUGAAGCCCCAAACAUUGGCCAGGUAGCUAUAUUAAUUUUACAUGCUUUCAUUUUCUUUUUAGUGUGCCAUUUUGUUUUUUAGUAUUGAUCUAAUGAAGCUCCAAACCCUAAACAUAUAUGGGCCCCCUGUUCUUAAUUCUCAUUGAACUUACACACCCUUUUGCACAUGUUCUUCAAAUAUAUGUCUUGGAUAUUUAUUUGUUUUGAUACCAUAGGAGGCCUAUUUGAUAUUUGAAAUCCUUGAGGGAGAUAAUCUACUAUUCAUAUUAUUGUCAAAUUAGAGGAGAGAAGCAUGAAUCAAAUGGUUUCAGUUUCCAUGCUCGCCAUCUUGCUCAGCGGUAUAGUCGGAUGAGACAAGAAGCAGAGACUCAUCAUGGAAGAAAUUAUCAAUUGAUCAAAGAGAUUAUUUCUUUGACUUAUUUCAGGUAAUCUGAACAUUGCCUAAACAUUUUAUAUGAUUAAAACUAUAGGAAUUGGAAUUGGAAUUAUACCUUGUGUAAAUUGAACUAUUAUGGAAGAAGAUUAUGACUUCAUUGAUGCUAGAGAUGUCAAUGGGUUACAUAAGGCAGCCUUAUUAAAUGAUAUCAAACUAACAAUCAUUUAGUAGU
This is a long non-coding RNA of Vicia villosa (hairy vetch), 4028 nucleotides long. RefSeq lists it as uncharacterized. Lineage: Eukaryota; Viridiplantae; Streptophyta; Magnoliopsida; Fabales; Fabaceae. The transcript has 3 exons. The record is from RefSeq and is a predicted model, not a curated record.